This 503-nucleotide ribosomal RNA is filed under the name uncultured bacterium. RNAcentral's name for it is "partial 16S ribosomal RNA". It matches the Rfam family "Bacterial small subunit ribosomal RNA", at positions 30 to 523 of the family's 1533-position model. The record is from RNAcentral.
ACUGAACGCUGGCGGCAGGCUUAACACAUGCAAGUCGAGCGGAGUGAUGGUGCUUGCACUAUCACUUAGCGGCGGACGGGUGAGUAAUGCUUAGGAAUCUGCCUAUUAGUGGGGGACAACAUCUCGAAAGGGAUGCUAAUACCGCAUACGUCCUACGGGAGAAAGCAGGGGAUCACUUGUGACCUUGCGCUAAUAGAUGAGCCUAGGUCGGAGUAGCUAGUUGGUGGGGUAAAGGCCUACCAAGGCGACGAUCUGUAUCGGGUCUGAGAGGAUGCACCGCCACACUGGGACUGAGACACCGCCCAGAAUCCUACGGGAGGCAGCAGUGGGGAAUAUUGGACAAUGGGGGGAAACCUGAUCCAGCCAUGCCGCGUGUGUGAAGAAGGCCUUAUGGUUGUAAAGCACUUUAAGCGAGGAGGAGGCUCUUUUGGUUAAUACCCAAGAUGAGUGGACGUUACUCGCAGAAUAAGCACCGGCUAACUCUGUGCCAGCCGCCGCAGUAA